Molecule: non-coding RNA, 589 nt
Organism: Pelobates cultripes (western spadefoot toad)
Lineage: Eukaryota; Metazoa; Chordata; Amphibia; Anura; Pelobatidae
Source: the annotation of a GenBank genome assembly
GGCCCCAUACGAUCCUACCCUGAGAGGGCAACUCAGCCAGACAAUUGGGACAGCCAUGAUAAGGACCGCCAUUGGGACCCAAACACAAGUCGUGGCAGGCUACCCCUGUGGAUCCCACGUGGGACAUUAAGAGACAGGGAGUCGUAGAUUGCCUUCCCAUGGCAAACUCCAGUAUAAAGGGGAAAGCACGCAGGACUCCUCCGAAGUGGUUUGGCCAGGCGAAACAACACUUCCAGGAAUUCGGUCUGAAGCAAAACCCAAAGUAUCCUGUAGGUAAACGGGAUGCGUACGCCCCAAAGGAGACCAAGCUUGGAAAACUCGUCCCUCGCCUCGCUGAGGGUCCGGCAGCCAGUUGGAGAACCGCUCCAUAUGGCGGUUCGCACCGAAUGUAAUCAUGCCAGUACUCGAGACCCUGGAGGGUGAGGCAACCAAUCACUGGGGUCUCUCCAUGGCCGGGUGAAGCCGUCCGCCACACGAGUGUCUCGUCCCGCAUACAUUCUGUCACAAAUGACGAAUACUUGUCCAGAAGCUAUAGAUAGCGAUCCUAUGUGAGAUCCGACUGCAGUCCGUAGUGGGCAACCGGUGAGAA